This is a long non-coding RNA of Dermacentor albipictus, 615 nucleotides long. RefSeq lists it as uncharacterized. The record is from RefSeq and is a predicted model, not a curated record. NCBI's taxonomy places the organism in Eukaryota, Metazoa, Arthropoda, Arachnida, Ixodida, Ixodidae.
CUCUGAGCAGAUCAGUGCCGGAACGCCUCGGGUUUCUUUGUCGCGUGCAAAACGUUCACGUCGAAGAGUUAUACACGGCAGCACAAGCUUUCGCAGAAGUUUUCAGUGGACUGGGACAGCUGAAAGGCGUGAAGUAUACAAUGCAGCUAAAGCUAGGAGCCGUAGGAGUCGUCGUGCCAGCCAGGAGAGUUCCAGUGGCCUUUCAAGACAAAGUCAAGGAAGAGCUUCUGCGCAUGGAAGAACAAGGCGUGAUAUCAAAGCGAGAGGUGCGCUACCUGGGACACGUGCUCAGCGCCGAAGGCCUGCGUGUGGACGCCCAACGUGUUCAAGAUAUUCUGGAAACGCCGACACCAAGAAACUACGCACGGCAAUAUCUGUGCAACUAUUCAUGUUUCACACUCCUGCCCAAACAACCACUUCAUGUGAAGAGAGGCAGCGCAGGAGUCAGCGAAACUUGUGAACGAGAAAAGGAAGCCAAGUGCAGUGACUGAGACGCAGCGCUUUUGCUCUAAAGGACACGCCCGUCGUCGUCGCCCACUUCUCUCGCUGCCAUGCAAAUGAGCACUUCACCACUCACUUCAGCCGCCACGUGCAUGCAUCAAGUGCCUAUGUAUA